RNAcentral lists this long non-coding RNA (467 nucleotides) under Bos taurus (domestic cattle). Its description in RNAcentral is "long non-coding RNA NONBTAT024155". The record is from RNAcentral. Lineage: Eukaryota; Metazoa; Chordata; Mammalia; Artiodactyla; Bovidae.
UUACCUUUUUAAUAUAUAUUUCCACAUAUAUUAAUUUUUAAUGAAAAAAUUCCAUUUAAGUUAUAUCAAUAAUGUUUUAUAGUAUCAGAUCCAGAGAUGACAAAAACCAUUCUUAUGAAGAAAUGUCCUGUUUUUACUCUAUAGAAUCUUGUGAUGCUUGCACCGGAAAUAGAGAAAAGCAUUAUUAACUUGUUUCCCUUGAGAAUUUUAGUAGGGCAUACUUAUAAAUGUAAUCACGAUCAAAUGAAAACUUAGUACUGCUGCUGUGGAGUUUGUAAUAAGUUGUAGUGUGUUUUAACUAUCCCAACUGGCUUUAAUCCAAGUAAUUUGUUUGCAGGCUUAGAUAUAGUACAACUCAGGAAAGACAUGUGGUGACUAUUAACCCUAUCAGUAAAAAAUUUCAUUUUCUAAGUAGUAAGAUUUUGUUCAUAUUUAGUAUAUACUUAAGAAAUAUAUAACAUAUCACU